This 509-nucleotide ribosomal RNA is filed under the name uncultured bacterium. RNAcentral describes it as "bacterial SSU rRNA". It matches the Rfam family "Bacterial small subunit ribosomal RNA", at positions 25 to 518 of the family's 1533-position model. The record is from RNAcentral.
CAGAUUGAACGCUGGCGGCGUGCUUAACACAUGCAAGUCGCGCGUGAAAGGACUUCGGUCCGAGUAAAGCGGCGCACGGGUGAGUAACGCGUGGAUGAUCUACCCAUGAGUUAGGAAUAACGGCUGGAAACGGUCGCUAAUACCAAAUACGCUCCGAUUUCAACUUCGGGGGAAAGGUGGCCUCUGCUUGCAAGCUACUGCUCAUGGAUGAGUCCGCGUCCCAUUAGCUAGUUGGUGGGGUAACGGCCCACCAAGGCGACGAUGGGUAGCCGGUCUGAGAGGAUGACCGGCCACACUGGGACUGGAACACGGCCCAGACUCCUACGGGAGGCAGCAGUGGGGAAUAUUGCGCAAUGGGCGAAAGCCUGACGCAGCGACGCCGCGUGAGGGAAUGAAGGUCCUCGGAUCGUAAACCUCUGUCAGGAGGGAAGAACCGCCACGGUGCUAAUCAGCCGUGGUCUGACGGUACCUCCAAAGGAAGCACCGGCUAACUCCGUGCCAGCCGCGGC